UAAUUUAAUCCUCAGUACGAGACCCCAUGCUAUGGUUUGAAUGUUUAUCCCCUUCAAAAUUUCUGUUGAAACUUCAUCCCUAGUGUGGCAGUAUCGAGAGGUGGGGGCUUUAAGAAGGGAUUUGGUCAUGAGGACUCUGACCUCAUGAAUGGAUUAACUCAUUCAUGGAUUAGUGGAUUAAUGAGUUACCAUGGGAGUGGGUCUGGUGGCUUUAUAAGAGGAGGAAGAGAGACCUGAGCUAGCAUGCUCAGCCCCCUCACCCCCUGUACUACCUUGGGACUCUGCAGAGUCCUCGACAGUAAGAAGGCUCUCACCUGUUAUGCCCCUGGACCUUGGACUUCUCAGCCUCCAUAACUGGUGCCUGUGCAGCAGUAUUCACUGUGAUAGGAAGUGAGAAGCAGUCUGAGUGUUCAUUGCUGAGGGAAUCAAGGGCAAAAUAUCAUGGAUGCACUCAUGGACAAAUAAGCAGCAGUUUGAAGCAACACCCUAGAUGGAUGUACAGCCAUCAAGAGGAUCUUAAAGUGUGGUCUUUAGUGGAAAAAAAGGUUACAUUUGAACAUAUUUAUCUGCUAAAGCGAAAUGUUUCCCAUCAUUCUAUAGCAGAAGCAAUGUAUGGGAGACUGAGUAAUUACAUAUGAGCUCACAUCACUAUCUCUUCCACCACUGUCAUCCAUCAUGACUGAUCUGGGAGAUGAAACAGCACAGAUCUAAAGGACGUGGUAAGAAUCGAGAUCACCAGAGAUCAGUAGAUACUUGCAUACUUGGAGGAUUAACACUGUCUGGAUUCCAACGAUCAGCUGAGUAUGUUCAAGAUAAAGCUAUAGUACAUAUUUUAGAUUGGGAAUUGGCAACAAAUAGCUGUAGACUACCUUCUGAGGAAUAAGUGUUUUCACAUGUGUGGGUGUCAUUUCUAAUCCCAGCAUCACAGUCAGGUCCAGAUACCUGUUUCUGAUCUUUGGUCCUAUGCCUAAUCUCCUCCAAGAGUCCUUCCCUGGAUCUCCUAUCUAAGCAAGAUGCUCGAUGCCCACCAAUGAGUACUGCACCAAGUUCAUUUCCACUAGCCUGUGUUACAAUUUGUGUUUCUGUAUGUUUCCCUUACUUGUUAUUCUUUGUCUUCCCCAUUAGACUGAAAGCACCGCCACGGGGACCGUGUCUAGGACAUAGGAGGUCCUUAAUAAAUAUUUCUUGAGUGGAUAAAUGGUGAACCAUAGGGGUGGCAUAAGAGCAAAUAGAGGGUAGAUGAGCACUAAUCCAUUCACCACCCUGUUUAUGGGUGGUGGACCUUGGAUGGCCUUUUUCAUAGUCAAAACAUACUUUUUAGAUCUGCCUUCUUGGGAUGUAUUCAAGGAUGCUAGCCGUGUUUGAGACUGUAAAUAUGUCUAGUGAAUAGGGCUUCAGGCUGUGUGUGUUUGCCUUGUUUUGCACAGAAUUCGGCACAGCCCCAAGCACAGAUGGGUGCUUCAUAAAUAUUGUUGAAGGAUGAUGACACAAAGGAUUAUUUAAUACCUCUGACCUCAGGCCACAAACAUACUUUCAAUGUGUUUUACUUCUGAAAUCAUUUGAACCAGAAUGUUUCAGCAACACAGAUUCAUCUGCAACCACAAAUCAGACACAUUUAGAAUGACAAAGCCCCAAAAGAAUGCCAUUUUCAAGGCUGAAACUGUAUUAUUCUGGGCUAAAUGGAAUCCUUGUUUUAGUGACACUGUAAGAGUAGAAAUUAAAGACACUGAAAAUCUUCCCUUGGGGAACCACAAUUAUCUGUGAACAAUGAAAGUUUGUCUGAAUAAUUCAUCAGCCUCAAGGGUACAGGCCUCCCCUUAUUCUGGAAUCCCAGGAGUUUAGGCAAGUGUGUCAUUUAAUGGGUCUCAACUGUGUCCUCAGUUGUUAUUAUUCCAGGGCCUGGCAUUUAUGGGCACAUUCCUAUAAUUUUACUAAUUAAAAAAAAAUAAGCUAUAUGGGAAACCACUGUCAAGGUCAAAAUUUUGAAGCUGCAUUGAUUUUACCUAGGAAGAAAGAAGCUUAUAAAGUGUCCAUCAUGAGAAUCCACCUGGGACCUACACAACAGAUCAAAUACCCAGAACAAAUCACCACGUCAGAGCCCCACAGAAUUCUGAUUCCCAACCAACAAGCAUGAGUAAUCCUUUUAAAUGGUCACUUACAUAUCAGAACAGGUCCUUUGUGAAAUUUCUAAGCAAGGCCUCUGGUUUCUGACUGAAACAGAGAUUUAUUGAGAAGGAGGGGUAAAGUGAAAUCAAGAACUGCUGGGAAAUUUCCACAAGAAACAAGGACAAAUGGUUUUUGUUGUCAGAGUAAAACCAGCCUCCCCUAGCCAUGGUUUGGAAAGUUAUUUGCUAGCCCACAGGGGACAAUAUUCUCAACUGGUUUAUCAGGGACCCUUUUGAUCCAAUUAUAGUUAUUGGGCAGAUACAGUAGUACCCUAUUAUCAGAAGACCUAGUUUCAAAUCCUGAGUCAACUUCUAAUUCACUGUGUGACCUUGUACAAGUCACUUAAGCUCUCUGAUCAUUGGUUCAACAUCUUUAAUAUGAGGAGAGUAAUGCCUAUCUCAAUUACCUCAUAAAAUUAUUGCAAAGAUCAAGUGAGUUGAUAUGUUACAAAUUAUUUCUAAAUUAUAAGAUUCUGUAUAAGUGGAAGGGUUAAAUAUACUCCCAUAUUAUUAAAUACCCUACGUAUCACUCAGGAUUCUAUAUGACUCUGAGUUCUCAAUUUCUAGAAAUGGUCCCAUUUUUACUUUGUUCCCUACAAUUCUACGGAGUCUUUUUUUUUUUUAAAGGAAGGGUGUAGGCAAAGGUAAAUGGGAGAAAACAUGGAAUCACAUACCACUCUUUGGUGCUGCUAGGCAAGAAUUUUAAACUGAGUUUAGGUCACCAUCGUGGACUUAAGGUCCAUAUCACCUCAGGGAGACAAGUAGAGUGGGAGGCAUCCAAAAGGUAGGUGAUUCUUCUCCCCUCUAGUGAAGAAUACAAGGUCAAUUUACAAAAAAGCACCAGCAGCAAAUAAUUGGAAAAUUAAAUUCAUAAAACAUUUAUAAUAGCGUCAAAAAAAA
This 3065-nucleotide long non-coding RNA is filed under the name Homo sapiens (human). RNAcentral describes it as "HSALNT0352054". Lineage: Eukaryota; Metazoa; Chordata; Mammalia; Primates; Hominidae. The record is from RNAcentral.